GACGAACGCUGGCGGCGUGCUUAACACAUGCAAGUCGAACGGAAAGGCCCUGCUUUUGUGGGGUGCUCGAGUGGCGAACGGGUGAGUAACACGUGAGUAACCUGCCCUUGACUUUGGGAUAACUUCAGGAAACUGGGGCUAAUACCGGAUAGGAGCUCCUGCUGCAUGGUGGGGGUUGGAAAGUUUCGGCGGUUGGGGAUGGACUCGCGGCUUAUCAGCUUGUUGGUGGGGUAGUGGCGUACCAAGGCUUUGACGGGUAGCCGGCCUGAGAGGGUGGCCGGCGACACUGGGACUGAGAGACGGUCGAGGCUGCGACGAGAGGCACCAGGAGGGAAUCGUACGCAAGGGGGGACAGCCGGGCGGGGCAGCGCCGCGUGAGUGACGACGGUUUCCCGAGCGUAAAGGUGUGUUAGUAGGUAAGGACAAAUGUGGCAGGAACUAUGCACGUCUCGACGGUACCUAAUCAGAAAGCAACGGCUAACUACCUG
RNAcentral lists this ribosomal RNA (488 nucleotides) under uncultured bacterium. RNAcentral describes it as "partial 16S ribosomal RNA". It matches the Rfam family "Bacterial small subunit ribosomal RNA", at positions 28 to 507 of the family's 1533-position model. The record is from RNAcentral.